Molecule: ribosomal RNA, 392 nt
Filed under: uncultured bacterium
Lineage: Bacteria
Description: bacterial SSU rRNA
Rfam family: Bacterial small subunit ribosomal RNA
Source: RNAcentral
AACGAACGCUGGCGGCGUGGAUAAGACAUGCAAGUCGAACGGGACAACAUCUGUAGCAAUACAGGUGUUGUUUAGUGGCGAACGGGUGCGUAACACGUGGGCAAUCUGCCGAGAAGUGGGGGAUAGCUCGCCGAAAGGCGAAUUAAUACCGCAUAUGAUCAGUGAAGACAUCUUCACGACAUCAAAGCCGGGGCAACCUGGCGCUUCUUGAUGAGCCCGCGGCCUAUCAGCUAGUUGGUGAGGUAACGGCUCACCAAGGCUAUGACGGGUAGCUGGUCUGAGAGGACGACCAGUCACACUGGAACUGAGACACGGUCCAGACACCUACGGGUGGCAGCAGUCGAGUAAUUUUCUCAAUGGGGCAACCCUGAAGGAGCGACGCCGCGUGGAGG